AGACCCGAAACCCGGUGAUCUAGCCAUGGGCAGGUUGAAGGUUGGGUAACACUAACUGGAGGACCGAACCGACUAAUGUUGAAAAAUUAGCGGAUGACCUGUGGCUGGGGGUGAAAGGCCAAUCAAACCGGGAGAUAGCUGGUUCUCCCCGAAAGCUAUUUAGGUAGCGCCUCGUGAAUUCAUCUCCGGGGGUAGAGCACUGUUUCGGCUAGGGGGCCAUCCCGGCUUACCAACCCGAUGCAAACUGCGAAUACCGGAGAAUGUUAUCACGGGAGACACACGGCGGGUGCUAACGUCCGUCGUGAAGAGGGAAACAACCCAGACCGCCAGCUAAGGUCCCAAAGUCAUGGUUAAGUGGGAAACGAUGUGGGAAGGCCCAGACAGCCAGGAUGUUGGCUUAGAAGCAGCCAUCAUUUAAAGAAAGCGUAAUAGCUCACUGGUCGAGUCGGCCUGCGCGGAAGAUGUAACGGGGCUAAACCAUGCACCGAAGCUGCGGCAGCGACGCUGAUGCGUUGUUGGGUAGGGGAGCGUUCUGUAAGCCUGCGAAGGUGGCCUGUGAGGGUUGCUGGAGGUAUCAGAAGUGCGAAUGCUGACAUAAGUAACGAUAAAGCGGGUGAAAAGCCCGCUCGCCGGAAGACCAAGGGUUCCUGUCCAACGUUAAUCGGGGCAGGGUGAGUCGACCCCUAAGGCGAGGCCGAAAGGCGUAGUCGAUGGGAAACGGGUUAAUAUUCCCGUACUUGGUGUUACUGCGAAGGGGGGACGGAGAAGGCUAUGUUGGCCGGGCGACGGUUGUCCCGGUUUAAGCGUGUAGGUGUGUGUUCCAGGUAAAUCCGGUU
This 836-nucleotide ribosomal RNA is filed under the name Salmonella enterica subsp. enterica serovar Muenchen. Its description in RNAcentral is "partial 23S ribosomal RNA". It matches the Rfam family "Bacterial large subunit ribosomal RNA", at positions 711 to 1547 of the family's 2925-position model. The record is from RNAcentral. Lineage: Bacteria; Pseudomonadati; Pseudomonadota; Gammaproteobacteria; Enterobacterales; Enterobacteriaceae. RNAcentral also lists the same sequence under 21 other names.